AUGGGGGUCUUCCGGCUCCUGCUCGGGGCACUGCUCUGGGAAGUCCCGGCAGUCCAGAACAUCCGGCUGAAGCAGCCCUCGCUGAUCUCGACCUCCGAGGGCAACUCGGAGAUCCUGCCCUGCAGCUUCUCCGCCGAGCCCGAGGAGCCCCCGCUGCGGUUCCUGGGGGUCGUCUGGUGGCGGGGGCCUUCUGGGACCGGACGGCCCAUCUUCGACUCCGAAACCGACUACGUCCACCCGGAUUACCGGGGCCGGGCCUCCGUGAAGCAGGACCUCCGACGGGGGUUCGCUUCUUUAUCCAUCCGCAACCUCCGCAAGAGUGAUGAGAACGUGUUCCUCUGCGGCGUCACUGUCAUGGUGGAGGGCGAAAAGGUCACCUGGUGGAGGCAGGAAGGGACCAAUGUCACUUUUGCAGUCCCGGCGGAGGCCCAGAAUGUCCAGGUGAAGCAGUCCUUGAAGAUCUUGACCUCCGAGGGCAACUCCGCGGUCCUGCACUGUUUCGCCUCCACCCGGAAGGGGGGGCCCCCGCUGCGGGUUCUGGGGUUCUCCUGGUGGAGGGGGUCUCCCGGGACCAAAGAGCUCGUCUUCGACUCCGCAACCAACUUCACCCACCGGGAUUACCGGAACCGGGUCUCCAUGAAGAAGGACCUCAAGGAGGGGUUCAGUUCCUUCGACAUCCAAGGCCUGCGGAAGAGCGACGAGGACACGUUCUUCUGCAGGGUCAGCGUUGUGACCGAGGGCAAAGAGGUCAUCUGUUGGAGCCAGGAAGGGGCCAACAUCACUUUCGCAGAAGGCAUCCCGAGAUUCCUGAUCCAGCAGCCGAAGGCGCUGACGGCCCCCGAGGGAGGCUCGGUCACCAUCUCCUGCCUCUUCUCCCCCCCGCCGGGCCUCGGGCCCCUGAGCAACGUGAGAGUGAUCUGGAGGAGGAACCACUUCCACGGCAAAGUCAUCUUGCGGUCCUUCCCGCCCGCCACCCCCGAUCCGGACUACGAGGGCCGCGUGACCCUGGUGGGGAACCCGGUGGGCGGGAACGCGUCCAUCCGGAUCUCCGGCCUGCGGCCCCGGGACCAGACCACCUACUUCUGUGCCGUCUACGGCCGCCUCGCCCAAGGGCAGGAGGUCCAGCAGCAGAGCUCCCUGGGGACCCCCCUCACCGUGACAGCGAGGUCGAGGGGCCGGCUCAUCAGCCAGCCGAGGUCCCCGCAGGCCCUCGAUCUGCGCAAUGACAGCUGCGUCACGGAGAAGGCCCGGGAACCCGGCCUCUGCCUCAGACCCCUCUUCUCACCCUCGGAUCUGGGCCCGCUCCUCGCUCUCUCCCUGACCCUGAAGAUCGGCACCUGCGUAGCCGUGUUCCUGAGACUCCAGGGAAGGGAGAGGGCCGCCCCCGGGGGGGUCUCCGGCCCCCCGGCCCCCGUGCCAGCCACCAGGCGGGAGCCACGGGCCGCCCGGCCUCCUGGCUCCGACCGGGCCGAGCCCGCUGGGGGACCCCAACAGGUCCAGUAA
This 1503-nucleotide long non-coding RNA is filed under the name Ornithorhynchus anatinus (platypus). RNAcentral describes it as "lncRNA (ENSOANG00000039477.1)". The record is from RNAcentral. Lineage: Eukaryota; Metazoa; Chordata; Mammalia; Monotremata; Ornithorhynchidae.